GAAUAAGUUGGAACCAACUCAUCCUCAUUCGAUAACACAACUAAGGAUCUGCUUCUCGUUUUCAACUGCAAUGGAGUGAUAGUGGAUGAUAUGCUCGAGAGACACUGAAAGAAGCCAUUUCGAAAGAUAUUUGAGCAAACCAGUGAGCUAAUGGCGGACAUUUGUGUGUUACGGUAAUUGAGAGGAGAUGAAAGGAAGGGUCAUCU
Molecule: unclassified non-coding RNA, 206 nt
Filed under: Hevea brasiliensis (rubber tree)
Lineage: Eukaryota; Viridiplantae; Streptophyta; Magnoliopsida; Malpighiales; Euphorbiaceae
Source: RNAcentral